Molecule: ribosomal RNA, 457 nt
Filed under: [Candida] sp. ES6M01
Lineage: Eukaryota; Fungi; Ascomycota; Saccharomycetes; Saccharomycetales
Also listed under: 2 other names
Description: eukaryotic LSU rRNA
Rfam family: Eukaryotic large subunit ribosomal RNA
Source: RNAcentral
GCGAGUGAAGCGGCAAAAGCUCAAAUUUGGAACCGCUUGCGGGUUGUAAUUUGAAGGAGUGGGCUGGGACGGGCGCCGCCUAUGUUCCUUGGAACAGGACGUCACAGAGGGUGAGAAUCCCGUGUGGCGGCGUACCCCGACCAUGCAGCGUGCUCCGACGAGUCGAGUUGUUUGGGAAUGCAGCUCUAAGUGGGUGGUAAAUUCCAUCUAAAGCUAAAUACUGGCGAGAGACCGAUAGCGAACAAGUACAGUGAUGGAAAGAUGAAAAGAACUCUGAAGAGAGAGUGAAACAGUACGUGAAAUUGUUGAAAGGGAAGGGCAUGGGGAUAGACUGAGCAAUCGGGAAGGAAGCGCUAGCGGGGCGGGACAAUUGCGCGGGAACGUGGCUUUCGAGUGUUAUAGCCCGCGCGGAUGCCGUCUUGUUGGCGUUUGCUUCCAUAAUGUCCCUAUGCCGCCC